GAUGAACGCUCGCUACAGGCUUAACACAUGCAAGUCGAGGGGCAGCAUGAACUUAGCUUGCUAAGUUUGAUGGCGACCGGCGCACGGGUGAGUAACACGUAUCCAACCUGCCGAUGACUCGGGGAUAGCCUUUCGAAAGAAAGAUUAAUACCCGAUGGCAUAGUUCUUCCGCAUGGUAGAACUAUUAAAGAAUUUCGGUCAUCGAUGGGGAUGCGUUCCAUUAGGUUGUUGGCGGGGUAACGGCCCACCAAGCCUUCGAUGGAUAGGGGUUCUGAGAGGAAGGUCCCCCACAUUGGAACUGAGACACGGUCCAAACUCCUACGGGAGGCAGCAGUGAGGAAUAUUGGUCAAUGGACGAGAGUCUGAACCAGCCAAGUAGCGUGAAGGAUGACUGCCCUAUGGGUUGUAAACUUCUUUUAUACGGGAAUAAAGUGAGGCACGUGUGCCUUUUUGUAUGUACCGUAUGAAUAAGGAUCGGCUAACUCCGUG
Molecule: ribosomal RNA, 489 nt
Filed under: uncultured bacterium
Lineage: Bacteria
Description: partial 16S ribosomal RNA
Rfam family: Bacterial small subunit ribosomal RNA
Source: RNAcentral